This 1432-nucleotide long non-coding RNA is filed under the name Chinchilla lanigera (long-tailed chinchilla). RNAcentral's name for it is "lncRNA (ENSCLAG00000023843.1)". Lineage: Eukaryota; Metazoa; Chordata; Mammalia; Rodentia; Chinchillidae. The record is from RNAcentral.
AUGUUUUUACCUGCUCAUCUGAUGGCUGAGCCCUUCUCGGCUUCCACUUUGAUUUCUAGGGUCUUCUCAGGCCCCAGCAUCCUAGCCAUCUUGUCACUUACUCAUGCUGACUCCAGGUUUUGUUGUUUUAAACAAUUUGAAGUCCAGCCUUCUUCAGCCAGUUUGAAGGGAAGCCUGCUGUGACAGAAGGCAGGAGGAUGCCCCCUUUGCCUCCCCAACUCUGGCAUUUUCUUCCCAGGUUUCUGAAUAAAGCUGAGAAGUGGAAUCCAUUCCAAAGGUGGUCAGCUUGGGUCUGCUAGAGGCUUGACUCCUCCAGGAGAAGAGGUAACACCUGGGGGCCCUGUCUUCACCCAUUUGGGACUAUGAAUCCCAGAUUCUUCUAAAUUUCAUAUUCUGCCACUUGGCACAGAGUGUGUCAGGUCCGAAGUCCUAUGUGAGUGAAUCAGCUUCAGCAAAGAGAGGAAUCACUUGCUUAUCUGAUGAGUCUCAGCUAGGAGAUGUCCAGGAAGCAGCCGUCCCUCUACCUAAUUCCUCCCUGGUUUCUCUUCCCACCUAUAACAGGGGUGGGGAUGUGGCUGCAGCUCAUCCGGCAUGACUGAGAAGCAAGGUCCUGAUCUUUCUGUCCAGCACCACAGUGAAAAGGCCCAGUGGUCUGCAUUGUAGAAUAGGAAACAAAGUGUGCAAAAUCAAAACACCAGCAUGGCCAGUGUGGCAUGUUUACAACACAGAAUGGCACUUCCCCAAAGCAUGCCCUCAGCGUGAGGGGGUUGGCGCUGCUCCUCAUGGGCAGACAGAGAACUGGCUUUCAUUCUACCAACGUGACUUUCAGAUUGCUGGCCUCGCUUAAAGCCCACUUGUGUCAGAGUGCUCAUAAAUUAGGGCUCAGAUAAAGAUCUUCUUUUUACUAAGCACUUCCUGGUUUCAACACUGCUCAGCUCUCUAAGUUCCUCUCCCUGAAGGUGGUUGAGGAACUGCUGGGACUAUGGCCCCCAAAGCAUUCUUCAGUCAGAAAGAGGGUAAGAGUGGAAGUAGGUGCCCCUGAGGCCUUCUGUCCUCUCCCUUUUAUUCCCUCAUCCCAAGCUGUCCUUUGACUCAUCUUCCUCCAAGCAACCCCUGGGCAUGAUGGCCUCACCAGGAACAGCCACUUGUACACUCUGCCCCCCAUCCCAUAUCCACCACGCCUCCCAUAGAACUGGGGUCUCAGCCCUGCCUUCCUGUCUCUGUGGCUUCUGCACACAGUGCUUUCACUGGUCUGAUGAUUCUGUGCCAAAUGACCAUGGUGACAGCUUCAUUUAAAUGGCUUCAGUGCUGAGUGGAGUGAUUAAUAAGCUGGUGGAGCCCAGCAUCCACUUGUGGAAUUGAACUGCAAGGCUGAGUAGAAGGAAGUCUGCAAAGCACACCCUAAAAAAGCCCCUUGAAGGCUAGAAAUUCA